This is a long non-coding RNA of Rhinopithecus roxellana (golden snub-nosed monkey), 400 nucleotides long. RefSeq lists it as uncharacterized. The record is from RefSeq and is a predicted model, not a curated record. The transcript is spliced from 3 exons. Lineage: Eukaryota; Metazoa; Chordata; Mammalia; Primates; Cercopithecidae.
CAGAGGUCACUGUUUGCUGGGAGCUUGUUAGGCACCUGUGCUGUGUCCUCCCAGUAUCCACUCAGCAAAUGGCAUCAUCUCCAUCUUACGGAUGAGGAAACUGAGGCUCAGGUACCAUUCCCAUUCUGCAGACAAGAAAACUGAGGCUCAAAGAGGGUAAGCCGCCUGCCCAGUGCACGCCGGGUAGCUACCGUCAAGGCUGGCCUGAGAUGCCAAGAUCCCUGCACUCUUGGUUAGGCGAUACUCGGACAGAUUCCCCCUCAUUGUGAGCAGAGGGAAACGCAUUGGAAUGCACGCGGUGCGGAGUGACGUUCUCGCAGGGGCGGCCUUGAAUCCAUUCUCCUUGCCUUCUUGUUGAUAUUUUUAUUAUUAUUAUUUUUACAAAAGCCAUCAUCCCACA